This 1500-nucleotide long non-coding RNA is filed under the name Heterocephalus glaber (naked mole-rat). RNAcentral's name for it is "lncRNA (ENSHGLG00000046540.1)". The record is from RNAcentral. Lineage: Eukaryota; Metazoa; Chordata; Mammalia; Rodentia; Bathyergidae.
GUUAGAAAGGAAUGAGAUGUAUUUUUUCUAUAUUUCUAUAACCUUUGCCAUUUCAUUGAACACAUUGUACAUUGGACAUAAUAUUAGUAACAUAUUCUUGAGAACUUUUAUUUUGGAAUGAUGCUAACUCUGUCUCUUGCCAAUUCUAAUACCAGGUUCCAAGUAAUAACUCUACAAUACAAAGAGAAUUGAUUAUCUAUUUUAGGGCUAGGCUGUGAACUUCACAACUCAUUUGAGUACCUAUGCUCAUUGAAUUUCCUUGAAAAUAAUUUGUCCCUGGUGCCCAGUGAUAAUUCAUUUGGGACCUUCAUGAGUAAAAGGAAAGAAAAGUGUAGUGAAAUGCUAAGGAUCAGCAAAAUGAACAAAAGGAGAGUUUGAUCCUGGAAAGAAAAAGAGACCUGGUUUGAUUAAGUUAUACUGACUAAGCAGUCCACUCAUCUUUCUAUUUUGGGAGAGAUGUGAGGGCAUCUGAAGAAGACCAUGGAUGGACUAGGAGAACCAUAUUUUUGGGCUAAGGGUAGGAAGCAGAAAGGCAAAAUGAAGAGGAAAAUCAUAAGAAAUUUGACUGAAGCAAAGAAAAAAAGCAAAUUCCCAAAUGUGCUAAUCUUUGAAAGUUAUAGUCUUUCCCAAACUAUGGAAGUUACCAGGAAGUGAUCAGGAAGACUAGGAGCUAUUAUUGACUACAAAUGAAUCAUAUAAUGGCUCUGUUGCAGUUGUGUGACUUCCAAACCAGGAAUUAAACAUUGUUUUUAAGAAAAAAAAAAACAUUUCCUAUGUUAGUCUCUCAGCAAAAUGUACAUGUUUUGGAGACUUCAAAGUUAUUAUAUGAGUUCACAUUUAGUAACAGCUUAUUAAUAACCCUCAAGCUGUCAGAAUCUCUAUAGUUACCAUUUACAAUUUUAUACUGUGAAAAAAAUACAGAUCAGUGAAAGCAUAAAGAUAAAUCAGAAUUUCCUUUGAAGAGGGUCUGAGGCCUGGGAGAAUCUCUACUGUUUAUUGAAAAAUGAGGCAUGUGUAAAAUAGUUGGCUAAAUUUCACUGAUCUUCCCAAUGUGAACAAAUAUACUAUGUAUAUUGUGUGUAUUUCUAGAAUUCAAUGGCAGCUGCUGGUGGUGUUGUAAUUAGAAAUCUAUAUAGAAUAUAGAUGUUUUAGAAAGAUGGUGCCAAUUCCAAAACAUUUGUGUGGACUACAAGUGCUUGUACUUACUUUUUUCUGCACUUAUAACUGAUUUGGUUUUAAAAUUGUGUGCGCGUAUUUGUUCCUUUUCUGUUGUUACAGCUUGUACUAUUAAAAUAAUGGAGAAUGUUAAAUUAUUUUGAUGUGAAUUGCAAAUGAUUUUUCAUAAAGUAUACCAUUUUUAUCAGCAUUGUUUUGCUUUGUACUUGUAUAAAUGUGUUUAUUUUAGCAUUUUAAUAUACACUUGCCUGUUUCUCAGUUGUCUAAAUUAUGUUUUAGGUGGUGUUUGUGAAGUCAGUUACUUUUUGAAAAAUAUUAAAAAAA